AACUAACAAGGAUUCCCCUAGUAACGGCGAGUGAAGAGGGAAGAGCCCAAGAUUGAAAGCUGGCGCCUUCGGCGUCCGCAUUGUAAUCUCAAGAAGUGUUUUCCGCUUCGGACCAUGCCUAAGUCCCUUGGAAAAGGGCAUCAUAGAGGGUGAUAAUCCCGUACAUGGCAUGGAGCGCCCGAAGCUUUGUGAUACGCUUUCUAAGAGUCGAGUUGUUUGGGAAUGCAGCUCAAAAUGGGUGGUAAAUGCCAUCUAAGGCUAAAUAUUGGGGAGAGACCGAUAGCGAACAAGUACAGUGAUGGAAAGAUGAAAAGAACUUUGAAAAGAGAGUUAAACAGUACGUGAAAUUGCCAAAAGGGAAGGGUAGGAGGUCAGAGAUGCGUCGCAGGAUUCAGCCUUGCUUUUGCUUGGUGUUUUUCCUGCGUUGCAGGCCAACGUCGGUUUUGGGCACUGGAGAAGGGUAGGAGGAACGUGGCACCUCUCGGGGUGUGUUAUAGCCUCCUACUGGAUACAGCGACCGAGACCGAGGAACGCAGCGUACUCGUAAGAGCGGGCCUUUUGGCACCUUUACGCUUAGG
This 578-nucleotide ribosomal RNA is filed under the name Pseudozyma hubeiensis. RNAcentral describes it as "eukaryotic LSU rRNA". It matches the Rfam family "Eukaryotic large subunit ribosomal RNA", at positions 63 to 621 of the family's 3401-position model. The record is from RNAcentral. Lineage: Eukaryota; Fungi; Basidiomycota; Ustilaginomycetes; Ustilaginales; Ustilaginaceae.